UUACUGAAAUCAGAAAUUGUGUUGCUGUUUUGUGUAUUGUCAAGUAAUCAAGUCAUGGAGCAUUUCGAAGGCAAGGGUGUAAAGACGUGAGGACAACAAUCUCUUUCAAGUAGCGAACAUGUCAGAGUAUCAUUUCACGGAUUGCAAGUGGCUUUCUGCGAAUCACUUUCUUUUUCAAAUUGCGAAUGUCUGUCUGGCUGCAUCGUACUUAGUCCCCGAUAGCCUUAAUGGUUUGUUUAUGUUGCGAGGGGCUCUUGGCCUAGGAGGUUUGUUCUUUGCACUCUGGGGAUGGUGGAUUCUCUGUGCGCCGGACACUUUCGUUUGGAAUGUCUUAUUCAUGGUUUUCAACUUCGGACAUUUAGCAUACUUGAUUUACAAAGUGAAGAGGCCGCGGCGAUUCUCUAGUGAAGCUGAAUCAGUUUAUAAGUACCUUUUUGGCCCUUUGGGAGUACAGCGCUACCAGUUCCAGAAACUUGCGAAUCUCAGCUCGGUGAUAAAGCUUUCAUCUGGUGAAAUUUACGGAAAAGAAGACACCCCUGCUGAUCGUGUUUCCAUAUUGCUGACUGGCGGAAUCGAAGCCAGGAAAGGAGAUAGACUUCUGCAUGUCAUGAAAGUGUUUGAAUUCGUCGACUCCCCAGAAUGGGCGACUUUUCGACCUGGAAUGAUUUCGCGUUAUGGGGUUUCGUUGGUUGCAUGCGAAGAAUGCACUUUUCUGAGUUGGGAUGCAUCAGCAUUGAGAAAUUCGUUGAGAAGAGAUCAGUUCUUGAAAAACGUAUUCAAUUCGCUGAUUGGACAAGACGUAACAAGCAAGCUUCUACACCUAGAUCGUAACUUUGAAGGGAAUAAUGCGCAAGAAAGCAGUGCUCUUGUGUACGAAAAGCAACAUCACGCUGCAAGCUCAUUGAAUAAAGAACCUGAGAAACAUAAUGCCGCUUUCCCUGUCAACUCUGGUACUGAAAUGGGAGAUAUCACAAUUAAUUGCGAAACGUCAGAACUUGAAAAAGUUUAGAGGGUGUCAGAUUAAUUUUCAGUAUUUUGGCUCAUAUAUUUUGAAGUAUGGUUUUUGAGUUAAUGCUUUUUCAUAAUGAGCAAUUUUAAAUUUUUCGGAGGCUUUUAAUAUUUUUGUAAGUGGAAAUGCAAUUUUGUAUUUAUUGGCCUUGAAAAUGUGAGAUUUUUACCGCGAGUCCUGUAUUUCUGUUUUGCUACCCUUUGUUCUAAAUCUAUUUUACUAUCCUCUUGUUUGACGUUUACCUUCAUCCCAUACAUGUGCUUGGUUUUAACAUCUUCGCUGACAAAAGAUGUUAACAAAAACCUUUCCAUCCUAAAGUUUCUUUUAAAAUUCUUUGUUUCAUAUCAUUCAGCAAUACAUAAAACUCUCUUUAAAUAAACUUUCUCUACUUCUUCAAAGACUUACCAUUUUCAUUGCUUGUAGAGUGUAACUUGCCCCAACUUUCAGUUAAAUUAUUUGCGUCCAAAGUCGGAGGUAAUUUUCUGAAAGCAAAAAGCUUGAGUUUUCAUCACUGCUUUUUGCAUUGGCGUUAGCGUUCUCGAAAACCAAAACAUCUAGUGCAUUGAUUUAAUGUAAAAAGAUCUCAAGUCCAUUCAUUCAUAUAAGGACUACCUCGAGAACUUAUUAGGCUCUUUUCUUUUUAAUUCCUAUUAAGGUUGUAUUUUGUUUUUCAAAAAUGGCUCUGAAAAAAAGCAAUCAUUGUCAAACAUACUAAAGCUUUUUGUCGGACACUUUUCAGAGUAGAAAACGUAAGAACAUAGAUCGAGAACUCUAUGCUAGGUAAUAUAUAUACAGGUGCACCUACCCUGGAGGGGCUGUAGGGGCAGCUGCCUAUCUUGCCUUCUUCAAGAAGGGACAGAAGGGGCAAGAAGUGCCUUAAAAUAUCAACUGCCAAGAAAAGGUUUUAGAAUCUCGUAGAUUUGAUGACUAGUUUAGCCACUCUCAUUGUUUUAAUUUCAAUUAGAAAUUAAAGAAAAUAUAAAAAUUCCUCCUUUUUGAUGUCGGUCUUUGGAAAAUUUCACUACCCCUCUCCUCACAAAUAAUCGAUUUUGAUAGUGGAAAAACUUCCAGUUUUUGCCCUCAGUACCAGCACUGCCCCUCCUACCUUAAUCUUGCACAAGCGCCCCUGUAUAUAUACCCAGUUGUGAAAUAUGCCAAUGAUUGGUGUGACUGCAGAAUUAAGAGCAACAGGAAGUACCGGAAAUUGCAAAGGUGCGAACAAAAGUCAAGUCAAGCACGCAUGCAAAAAUGUUUAAGAGCUACUUCGGAGGUAAUAUUGUCCUCACAUUGCCCUCGUUAUCAAGAAAUCUUUCAAUAAACUUUGGUCAUAAAAUUUUCAAAGCAUUACAGAAUAGCAGCCAAAGAUUUUCCCUUCAACCCUCAGCGCACGCAACGCAGCAUGGAAAUUUACGACUAUUGUGCGAAGUUGAAAUUCCCAUACUGGCCUAUGGCCUCUGACCUUGAACCAACCUUUUCAGUCCAGAUAUUAGUGCAUGCAGCCUUAAUGGGAUGAGUGCCUUUGUGAAUCGCUGUGGAAUGCAUUGUUAACAGUUAGGCGAAACAAUACAUUCACAGUCGUUAUUGGUAUGAAUCUAAACGAGAAGAAAGGUUAUUUAGGAAAGUGAAACAAAUAUAAGGGUUGUUCUAGGACUACGGUGAGAUGUCGGAGUAUCAUUUCACGGAUUGCAAGUGGCUUUCUGCGAAUCAUUUUCUUUUUCAAAUUGCGAAUGUCUGUCUGGCUGCAUCGUACUUAGCCCCCGAUAGCCUCAAUGGUUUGUUUAUGUUGCGAGGGGCUCUUGGCCUAGGAGGUUUGUUCUUUGCACUAUGGGGAUGGUGGAUUCUCUGUGCGCCGGACACUUUCGUUUGGAAUGUCUUAUUCAUGGUUUUCAACUUCGGACAUUUAGCAUACUUGAUUUACAAAGUGAAGAGGCCGCGGCGAUUCUCUAGUGAAGCUGAAUCAGUUUAUAUACAUCUUUUUGAGCCACUUGGAGUGGAACGCUACCAGUUUCAGAAAAUUGCAAACCUUAGCUCAGCUUCUACCAUUCAGGCAGGAGAAUGUUAUGGCAGGGAGAAAACACCGGUGGAGAGAGUCUCAAUACUUCUCUCCGGAGGGGUUGAAGCAAAGAAAGGCGGAAAGCUGCUACAUGCAAUCCGGGAGUAUGAAUUUCUUGAUUCCCCUGAAUGGGCUGUUUUCAGAGCUGGGGAGAUAUCUCGGUAUGGGGUAACUCUUAUUGCGAAAGAAGAUUGCAAAUUUCUCACAUGGAAAAGCACUGAUCUGCGGAGAAAGCUUCAGAUGGACCCACUUAUGAAAAACGUUUUCAAUUCUUUGAUUGGUCAGGACGUGACACAGAAGCUACUUUGCUUGGAUCACAGUUACGAGAUCCCAAGCUCGCCAUCAGCAGUUGCAAAGAUCUACGGCAAUCAAGAUUAUAUUGGAGGAUACUUACACGCAUUCUCCGAGCCCCAACAAGGAAACCCUGAAAACGUUGGAAACUUCGAUGGCACUAUGGAGAAGGUGCCUUUGCUGGGUGUUAAGUCAUCUGAUUCUGUACCACGUGGGCGAUCAUCAGGCAAUCACAACACCGAAUCGGUCUGAAAUUCUUCGAUUAGUUGCGUUUAAGUUUUUUUAAAUCUAAAAAUUUGCAAUAGCUUACCUUCGAAUUAGUGACUGACUUCAAUAAACAUUUUGUACUUCUUAAUGGACAAGAUAUUUUCAAGCUAUUUUUAACUUCUUUUUUAUUUUUAUUAGCCAUUUUUGAAAAUCCGCAAGCGAUAACAAGUUUUGGUUCAUAAAUGUUGAAAUAAUAUUGAAAUUAGGGGUGUCUUUUGCGUUGGUUCAUUUUACUUGUGCGCGUAA
Rhopilema esculentum is the source of this 3866-nucleotide non-coding RNA. Lineage: Eukaryota; Metazoa; Cnidaria; Scyphozoa; Rhizostomeae; Rhizostomatidae. The record is from RefSeq and is a predicted model, not a curated record.